CACGCUGUAAACGAUGGAUACUAGACGUGGUGGGUCUUGACCCCUGCCGUGUCGAAGUUAACACGAUAAGUAUCCCGCCUGGGAAGUACGGUCGCAAGACUAAAACUCAAAGGAAUUGACGGGGGCCCGCACAAGCGGUGGAUCAUGUGGUUUAAUUCGAAGCAACGCGAAGAACCUUACCUGGAUUUGACAUCCUUUGAAUACAUUAGAGAUAGUGUAGGCUCGCAAGAGACAAAGAGACAGGUGC
RNAcentral lists this ribosomal RNA (247 nucleotides) under uncultured bacterium. RNAcentral describes it as "partial 16S ribosomal RNA". It matches the Rfam family "Bacterial small subunit ribosomal RNA", at positions 796 to 1041 of the family's 1533-position model. The record is from RNAcentral.